Molecule: long non-coding RNA, 447 nt
Filed under: Parus major (Great Tit)
Lineage: Eukaryota; Metazoa; Chordata; Aves; Passeriformes; Paridae
Description: lncRNA (ENSPMJG00000006144.1)
Source: RNAcentral
AUGCUCUCUCUUAUAGUGACCAUUGAAAGGCUGUUUGCUCACCAGGACAAAAAACUUCCUGCAGGAUCUUGUCAAAAAUACUUCCAGAAGAUUCUGUGGUUCCAUGCAUACUUCAAGCUGAUGAGGAGUGUAGCACAGAGAUGGGACACCCUUGGGGGAAGAAAAUUACCAUCAGUUCUCACCAUGGAAGACAUGAAUCAUCCUCAUCUGCUUUUCCUCUCACUGGGAGAAAUUAGGAAAGCAAUGAAUUAUUUCCCAGCAUUGCCUACUGCUGCUUUCCACCUGGUCAAAUUCAAGAAUUCCUUUCUACAAGACCACAGCAAAACAGAGGUUUCUUCCCACUACUAUAAAAGCAUGAAGCAAUUGACUAGGGAAUGCUUCUGUCCAGCUUUCUGCCAUUGUCAUGUCCUGUCUUCUGUUUCAAGUUGCUUUGGUACCUGCCUUUAA